GACGAACGCUAGCGGUGUGCUUAACGCAUGCAAGUCGAGCGAGGCCUCGCCUUCGGGUGGGUGCCCUAGCGGCGAACGGGUGAGUAACACGUGGGUAACCUGCCUCCGACUCUGGGAUAACUUCGGGAAACCGGGGCUAAUACUGGAUAUGACAUAGCGCUGCAUGGUGUGGUGUGGAAAGAUUUUUUGGUCGGAGAUGGGCCCGCGGCCUAUCAGCUUGUUGGUGGGGUGAUGGCCUACCAAGGCGACGACGGGUAGCCGGCCUGAGAGGGCGAUCGGCCACACUGGGACUGAGACACGGCCCAGACUCCUACGGGAGGCAGCAGCGGGGAAUAUUGCGCAAUGGGCGGAAGCCUGACGCAGCGACACCGCGUGAGGGAUGACGGCCUUCGGGUUGUAAACCUCUUUCAGCUCCGACGAAGCGUGAGUGACGGUAGGGGCAGAAGAAGCACCGGCCAACUACGUGCCAGCCGCCGCAGUAAAAC
Molecule: ribosomal RNA, 485 nt
Filed under: uncultured bacterium
Lineage: Bacteria
Description: bacterial SSU rRNA
Rfam family: Bacterial small subunit ribosomal RNA
Source: RNAcentral